CUAGCAUGCAAUAAUGUUAACUUAAGUCAGCAUAGCUUGAGCCCAAUUAGCACACAAUUAACCAGGUGGAAACACUAGGAGUCAAAAUUUAGCACACACCAAUCAGAACCUGCGAUGGAUAGAUAAAAGGGCCAAAGUCAGCUCAUUCAGGUUUGAAACAAUGGAUCCAAAGAGAUGCAAAGGAAGAGGACGUGGUGGAGAAAGAGGACGUGGUGAAGGAGGAGGACGUGGUGGAGAAAGAGGACGUGGUGAAGGAGGAGGACGUGGUGGAGAAAGAGGACGUGGUGAAGGAGGAGGACGUGGUGGAGAAAGAGGACGUGGUGAAGGAGGAGGACGUGGUGGAGAAAGAGGACAUGGUGAAAGAGGAGGACGUGGUGGAAGAGGAGGAGGAGGUGGUGAAGGAGGUGGAGGUGGAGAACGACGGCGACAAGGAAGGGGAAGAGCAAGGGCACGAAGACAGUCAGUCUCGGAUGAAAUUCGAGCCACUUUAGUUGACCAUGUCCUUGUCCAUGGGAUGACUAUGAGGGAGGCUGGGCAACGAGUACAACCAAAUUUGAGUCGCUUCACUGUUGCCUCCAUCAUCAGAACCUUCAGGGAGGAAAACAGGACACAGAGACGACCACCUGGUGGAGGCAGGUUAAGGCUUUUGUCGGAGGAGCAAGAGAGGGAACUUGUAAACAUGGUAAUUGCAAAUAAUGUAAUCCGCCUGCAAGAGAUUCAAAGGAGAGUGAUUGAGGAUGAUCAUCUUUUUCGAGGCAUAAAUGCCAUCAGCCUCUCCACAAUUGACCGCAUCCUCCGAAAGAAUCAAUUCCGGAUGAAACAGGCAUACCGAGUCCCUUUCGAGCGAAACUCUGACAGAGUGAAAAACCAACGUGUGGAAUAUGUUCAGAGAAUCUUUGAGAUUGAAGGACGGCCUGUUCCCCAUGAAAUGAUCUUUGUGGAUGAGGCAGGUUUUAACCUGACCAAAAGAAGGAAAAGGGG
Molecule: long non-coding RNA, 981 nt
Organism: Oreochromis aureus
Lineage: Eukaryota; Metazoa; Chordata; Actinopteri; Cichliformes; Cichlidae
Source: Ensembl